UGCCCCUGGGCAGCGCUGGGUGUGGCUGGGGACGCGUGUUUCUUUGGCUGUGUUUAAUCACAUUGAUGUGAAUUUUGAAAAGCAUCAGCUCAUCGCUCGGCUGCUGUGCUUGGCUCGGCUUGGUCCAGAGGAAAGUCUGCCUUAUAGGGUCCUGGUGGAGGUGGCUUCUUCCCAGCAGUGACAAUACGGCUCCUUUGCAGCCCUGCACUCUUACACACGUCACCUAAAAAGACAGAAGAACCUGGUGGCUGCCCACAGAAUCGUGGGUGCACUGAGCGUCUCGUUUGUGCUCUACGUGCAGCCAAAAUUCCCUUUUAAUUUGCUCUGUCACGGUUAACCACUGCUGCUCAUACAGCAUAGAAUAUCUCUUAUGGCAGCAAGACAAGAAAUAAAGUAAUGUGGAUAAAAGAAGCAGAUUUCCACCCAAUUCCCAGCACAAACAAACCCACACUCCUCGUUCGUGGAUUCUUAUACUGAAAGGGAGACUUGAAUUUCUGCAGCAUAUGGAAUAUAAAGCACACGGCCAAUGUUUCUUACUGCUUUCAGAACAGCCGAGGAGAGAGGGAAUGUUGUAAUUCAGAUGAAGCAAUGAAACAAUCAGGGUAAGGCAAAAGUCUGCAUGAUGACAUAUUAAAGACCAUACACAUAUGCAGAUGGCAAAGCUAAAGCCAAGUUUUCAGAACCAAUCUUUCAGGGACAGAGAUCACCUCCUUGUUUGACAUUUAGUGGGAAUGAGUCUGUGUUUGCAGAGCACUGCAUCUCUUCCUCAGCCUGGAAGUUCUGGGAGGGGCUCUCACUGGGGACUGCCAUCCUGGGAUUGUGUUUGUUCCCUAUAGAAAAUGAACAGAACCUGGAAUCUUUCCAUAUUCUUCUCUUUUUACUAGCAUUAUUACUCUAGCUGUCUCAGAUUAGAGCUAGAUAUGUGUGUAAAUACAUAUAUAUUGUAUAUGUAUAUGUAUACA
Numida meleagris (helmeted guineafowl) is the source of this 962-nucleotide long non-coding RNA. NCBI's taxonomy places the organism in Eukaryota, Metazoa, Chordata, Aves, Galliformes, Numididae. The record is from Ensembl.